Molecule: ribosomal RNA, 253 nt
Filed under: uncultured bacterium
Lineage: Bacteria
Description: partial 16S ribosomal RNA
Rfam family: Bacterial small subunit ribosomal RNA
Source: RNAcentral
UACGUAGGUGGCAAGCGUUAUCCGGAUUUACUGGGUGUAAAGGGCGUGUAGGCGGGGAAGCAAGUCAGAUGUGAAAACCACGGGCUCAACCUGUGGCCUGCAUUUGAAACUGUUUUUCUUGAGUGCUGGAGAGGCAAUCGGAAUUCCGUGUGUAGCGGUGAAAUGCGUAGAUAUACGGAGGAACACCAGUGGCGAAGGCGGAUUGCUGGACAGUAACUGACGCCGAGGCGCGAAAGCGUGGGGAGCAAACAGG